GCCGCCAUCUAGACACACUUUCGUGUUACGUCAAUCUUCGCGAAAAGAAUGUAUAUUUACGUGUGAUCUAUAUAUGUGAGAAUCUAUACAUAUCUCCGAAUUGGCGGACGGAAAUGGACGGAUAACCAAUGAAUAUGAUGUCAGAUUUCGCGCUUACCGCGUGGUAUAUAACGUAAAGUCGAGUAUUUCGCAUCGAAUAUAAAUUUUUUUUUAUUGCCGAUGCAAAGACGUCGAGGAUGUAAGGAAGCAUCGUGAAAAAGAAUUCACCUAUCGGUGAACGUGAGCUCAGCAUCGACGUCUGCCGUCUGACAUCCCGUUUGUUUUAGGUUAUAAAAUCUGAUCGUGAUAUUUCCUCGACGAGUAAAACAAAAUGGCAGAACAACAACAAACACCUCCUGGUUUUAAACAUAUGUCAUUGGAUAAGAUUAUCGAAGCUAUGACUGCUGAUUUAGAAAGUUCAAGCGGUCAUUAUGUUCAGUUUGGCGUUACCCCGCAGCAAGCCACCUCUCAUAAUUGGAACGAUUAUACACCUGGACAAGCCAGACAUCACAUCCCCAGUCAACCAACGCAUCCUAAUUCUUCUGGAAUGCAACCGAUCACUCCAAUGACCACUUCUUUGUAUAUGCGAGAUAUGCCGGGUUAUGAAGCCGCACCUGCCGAGUCGAUUUACUUUCCACCGCGGACAGUAAAUCACUUGGGCAUCAAUGAGAAUAAUGAUUUAAUUGGUACUAUCGAUGUCGGAGGUGGAAAUUAUAUCAAUGUUAUUUAUGGAAAUGCUUCCCAGAUUAUGGCUGAGCAAUGUCAGCUUCCAAACAUAACACCAUAUGCUAAUCAAGGCAUUGUUGAUCAAGAGUAUGGUCUGUUUAAUGAUCAACAUAUGACUAUACCAUCUGAAUUACCGAGUCAAAAUUUUAAUGGAAAACAGUUAAUUGACAAUUUAGUUGGCAAUUGGGUACCAAAUCAGUCUGGAACGUAUAGUCCAUUUGGCGGAUCUCCCAAUAUCACACCUGUACCACAAUCUGUACCGGAUAUAAGAGAAACUGAUGAAUUACCUAGAAAUAUAUCAGAUUCUCAAUAUAAAAAACCAAGGAUGGUGGCAGAAGUAAAACCUAUGCGACCUUCUUACUCUGAUGUUUUGACAAAAUCUGCCCCAACACCGCCAUCUCCGUUAACAAUCCAAUCUACAAAGCCAAAAAUUGAAAUAGCAGGUAAGAAAGUGUCUAAUAAAAAUACAAAAAACAAGAACAAACCUGCAUCAUUGAAAAGACAGAAUUCAUCUGGCAGCGAUGAUCACAAUUCUCCAAAGAUGCAAAUUCCUAGAAAAGUUUUAGAAAAAAAUUCUUCUAAUCUUCCAAGGCGAUGGGUGUCUUUGGAUAAUCUUGGCUCGCCAUCCGAUUCUCGUCAGAUAAAUGCUUUUGACAGAUCUGAUCAAUUUUGCUCAGAAAAAAAGAAACCUGUCAAACUGUCUAAGAAAACGGAAAAAAACGAGACUCUUAAUAACACUAAAAUACAAAACAAUAAUCCCAAAACUUCAGGAAAUAUUCCAAAACGUCCAAUACAAAUAAACAACAAUUUAAACACGAUUAAUACAUCCAGUCAGACGGUAUCGUCCGAAAAAAUUGAAAAGAAUCAACAAGUUAUUAAUAAGAGUAUCAGUAAAGAAGAUAAAAAGGUUAUCAAGGAGAAGAAUCCUAAACGUCUUCAGGCUGAGAAGGCUCAACAGAUUAAAAAGGGGCAAAGGAAUAGAAAAAGAGAAAAUCGAGAAUCUUCUGUUAAGGAUUUAUGUAGAAAUUUAAAUAAAUAUGCAACUCGUUGGAGUAAAGUUGUAUUGAAAAUCUUUUAUUGGUUACUACAUUUGAUUUCUGAUGUAGUUAGUAUGAGCGCAAACUUGGUUAUUCAGCUUGGUAAAUGUGCUUGGUAUCAUACUAUACUUUAUUUAAAAUAUUCGUGGAUGUAUAUGGCUGUGACAUUUUCUAAAAUUCGUAUUUUAAACGCUAUCGGUAAACAAUUAGAUUAUUGGUUUGGAAGUAGUAAAUUUGCAUUCUGGCGAAAGAUAAAUAAUAAAAAAAAUGAAGAAAAAGAGGAUAAUGGCAACUGGAUUCAUGGUGGCCUAGAAACCAAUAUUGCGUUACCUAGUACUGGGGAGGAAGCCAUGAAAAGAUUACUAGCGUGCAAGGGAAAGGAUCCUUACAGCAUACUCGGCGUUACACCAACGUGUUCGGAUGAUGAUAUUAAAAAAUAUUACAAGAGACAAGCCGUUUUAGUCCACCCGGAUAAAAAUAAUCAGCCAGGAGCAGAAGAAGCAUUCAAAAUUCUUGUACAUGCCUUUGAUAUCAUUGGAGAACCGGAACGUAGGCAAGCAUUUGAUCAGACUAGGCAAGUUGAAGCAGCUUGGGGCGAAUUAAGUGAUUUGUUGUCUCAACUCCAUCGGAAAAUGGAGCAGGCAGCAAACACAAUAAGAUGUACGAAUUGUGGUUUACGACACAAACGCAUUCCUACGCAACGUCCCUGUUACGCUGCACGAUUUUGCGCUCAGUGCAAGAUACGUCACAGUGCGAAAGAAGGUGAUAUUUGGGCAGAAUCUCGUUUAAUGGGUUUUCUAUGGCACUAUUAUGCGUGCAUGGAAGGGGCAGUGUAUGACGUGACAGACUGGGCUGCUUGCCAAGCUGGUAAUCUUAAGCAUCUUAGAGCAAACACUCAUAGUGUCCAGUAUAGAAUUGUCUUAGGGCAAAGAUUACCGUCUCAAACGUCAAGCACUGGUAAAAAACGGCAACAAGAUCCUAAUACAAGCGAAGCGGAUUUCGAGGAUUUUCUAAACAAUCUCUACAAUCAUAGCAAAUCUGCCGGUGCUAAUACAUCGGGGGAUCAAAACUCUUUUAGAGGAGAUUGCAGACGACGUAAAACUAAGCGUAAGAAGUAGAUAAAUAGCUGAUGACAGUUGAUGACAAACUUCUGAAUAUUUGAUAUUGACAAUGUAUAAUUUACGAAGCGUGCAUUAUAAAUGCAUAUUACACACACUCUUAAAUUUAUGUUAUCUAUAAACAAUUAACUCUAGCAUGUAGAUAUUACAAAUGUUCUCAUAAAAACUCACUAAUAUUUGACUGAUACACAAUAUGAGAUUAUGAAAGAUUGUGUUCACAAGAAUAAUACGUAUAAACAUCAUCGUGUGCAGUAAAUAUUAACAUAGAAUGUGGAAUUGAUUGGCAUAAUUAAGAAAUUCGAAAAGGUUAUAAAAUAAUGGAUAAAGAGAUGCCAAAUAAUCAUUGUAGGAAAAAAAAACAUUAUAUUGCAAAGUUAUAUCUGAACAUUUGAAAUGUUUUGAUAUAUGCAUUUAGACAGCUUACAUAGCUAUUUAUAAUAUGCAAAAUUUUAUGUU
RNA transcript from Camponotus floridanus (Florida carpenter ant), 3376 nucleotides. It is a transcript of the gene named dnaJ homolog dnj-5, with no coding region annotated. The record is from RefSeq and is a predicted model, not a curated record. The transcript has 7 exons. Lineage: Eukaryota; Metazoa; Arthropoda; Insecta; Hymenoptera; Formicidae.